RNAcentral lists this long non-coding RNA (306 nucleotides) under Brassica napus (rape). Its description in RNAcentral is "long non-coding RNA (BNAP_LNC018184)". Lineage: Eukaryota; Viridiplantae; Streptophyta; Magnoliopsida; Brassicales; Brassicaceae. The record is from RNAcentral.
GGUAAUCAGGAUGGCAUAAAACACCUCCUGACAUUACUUGAUUUGCAUCAGUUUCUUGCAACGGUAUUUGCUACGUUAUCUCCAGCUCUCGCAAUGGUGAAAACCUGAGAGCCAAGCCAUUAGUUGAAUCAGUCUCAUUAGUAUCCUUAAAGAAUAUACUAAAGGCACAUCCAUACGAAAGAAUUUGGAUAUAAAGGUAAUGACAACAAAGAGAACUUGGAAACCUAUAACACCUAAACAUAAUUUGUUCGGAGUAAAAUAUUUGUGUCCAGGAGAGUCUACUAAAACAACAUAGUACUGAAAUAA